GUUUACCGUAGCUUAAGCCCCGUAACAAAAAGCGCGACACUGAAGUUGCCGUGAUGGAAUAGCAUUUCCCGGAAACA
Molecule: transfer RNA, 77 nt
Filed under: Gekko vittatus (white-lined gecko)
Lineage: Eukaryota; Metazoa; Chordata; Lepidosauria; Squamata; Gekkonidae
Description: tRNA-Phe
Source: RNAcentral